Molecule: small RNA, 864 nt
Filed under: Histoplasma capsulatum
Lineage: Eukaryota; Fungi; Ascomycota; Eurotiomycetes; Onygenales; Ajellomycetaceae
Also listed under: 1 other name
Description: hypothetical RNA
Source: RNAcentral
AUCACUGCUAAUCUAUCGCUGCUAAUCUAUCGCUGCUAAUCUAUCGCUGCUAAUCUAUUGCUGCCAACCUAUCUACCGCUGCCAACCUACCUACUGCUGCCAACCUAUCUAUCACUGCUAAUCUAUCGCUGCUAAUCUAUCGCUGCUAAUCUAUCGCUGCUAAUCUAUCGCUGCUAAUCUAUCGCUGCUAAUCUAUCGCUGCUAAUCUAUCGCUGCUAAUCUAUCGCUGCUAAUCUAUCGCUGCUAAUCUAUCGCUGCUAAUCUAUCGCCGCUAACCUACCUACCGCUGCCAACCUACCUACCGCUGCCAACCUACCUACCGCUGCCAACCUAUCUAUCGCUGCCAACCUAUAUAGGGUAAAUCAUGGUCCCAUUUGGUCCCAUUUUGUAAAAUGGGAUCAAAUGGGACCAGGAUCACUAAUUUAUUAGUAAAACAUGAUCUGGGACUAGAUUUAUAAUAUAAACAGUGUAAAGUGACUAAUUUGCUAAACACUAUAUGGGACCAGGACUAAGAUAUCUAAUAAUGGGACUGAGGAAAAAUUUGGUCCCAGUCCCAUGCAUGGUCACACGGCCAGUCUAAAGGCAAUCACAUACAAAAUGUAUGAGCCAUCUUUCUUCAUUGUAGCAAUAGAUAGGUCCCUGAAUAAUAUCUGCAUGGAGUCAUUCAAAGGGUAGUUUAGAUCAUAUAUGGGGGUGGUGAGAUAUUUGAUUCUUUGCUUUGGCAAGAUGACAAGGUUCACAGAGUUCUUUGUCUUCAGUAUCAUCAAUCUUCACAAUAUCUUUGAUAUUGAAUAUCUAAACCUCUUUGACAUUGAUUGGUAGAUGCUCCACUGCUCUCAUUAAAGAGUAUUCUAGUUAUAGGUG